RNAcentral lists this transfer RNA (68 nucleotides) under Risungbinella massiliensis. It matches the Rfam family "tRNA". Rfam says of the family: Transfer RNA (tRNA) molecules are approximately 80 nucleotides in length. Lineage: Bacteria; Bacillati; Bacillota; Bacilli; Caryophanales; Thermoactinomycetaceae. The record is from RNAcentral.
GGCUUAGCUCAAUUGGUAGAGCACCUGACUUGUAAUCAGGGGGUUACGGGUUCAAGUCCUGUAGCCGG